Molecule: long non-coding RNA, 1109 nt
Organism: Acanthopagrus latus (yellowfin seabream)
Lineage: Eukaryota; Metazoa; Chordata; Actinopteri; Spariformes; Sparidae
Exons: 4
Source: RefSeq, a predicted model, not a curated record
CUCAUGAGCAUACUCGGCAGUGCCCUUCCCCUGUACAGGUGCAGUGCCUGCUCUCACCUGGUCAGAUACUCUCAUGCCCAAACUGUAAACAAUGGCUGAGAACAGAUGACAACAAUAACAGCGCCGAAAAAUGCCCCACCGUUGCCCACGUCGAAGAGAAGAAAUAAGAAGACUGCAGAAAAGCAGUGCAAAAACAAAGAAUUGGACCGAGCCAGAGAGAAAACUAGGAUAACUAUGGAAGCAUGAUUUCAGAGGUGGAGGAGCUGCGGGAUUUGUAAGGACUCAAGAGCAACACAGAGUUAGCUGCUUUUCUGCUGGACAAAAACAAAUGACACAAACAGCCAGAGGAAGAGGGAGAAGCCGGAGAUGUAGAGGUUCCUCUGGGAUCUGAACAGCUUCAUGUGGAUGUGGUCGUAUACAGUCGGGUUCACCUUGGCAUCCUGCAUGGGCUGAGGCCCCGAGUACUUCUGAACCUCACGGAGAGCAUCUGAGAGUGGGUGAUUGCUUACCAAGGAAAAGAACAAUAAGAACCAUGAUCAUGGUGAAGAAGCACUUGUUCCAAUAAGGAGACAACCAGUUCCAUAUUCUCAAGUUGAAAACAGAGCGCCAUCUACAGAGGAGGUUAAAAGGAUGUGUGAGUGUCAGAAAGGACAUGGACACACUCUGCUGCUGGAUAGAGAGGGGCCCCGAAGAGAUGGCAUCUGAAUUGGGGACGGCUGCCUAAGAGAAGCAGCCCUGGGCGAGGGAGAGGACAGGACAUAAUGUAUGUGACUGGGACUGCAGCCAUGACACAGAGCAUAGGGGUGAAGGAAAAGGACACGCCAGGGUCAAGUGAUUCUAAUAAGGCUCACAGUGAAGCAUCAGUUCACCUCUGCUAUUGACUACCAGUGUAUUGACCUAUUUUUUUCUCUUCAGGUCACCUGAGGUUAGAGGUGUAUAGCAGUGGCCUGCUAACCUAUCCGAUAUGCUAAUUAGUUGACCUUGAGAGAUUUGCUGCAAAUGUCACGUCAAUAAAACUGGUCCUACAUUGACUAAAGACAUGAAACUACUGGAACUCAAUAUAGUAGCAUUUCAUAACAAUAAAGGUAGAUGACACGUUCUUCAGUUAA